RNAcentral lists this ribosomal RNA (440 nucleotides) under uncultured Anaerolineaceae bacterium. RNAcentral's name for it is "bacterial SSU rRNA". It matches the Rfam family "Bacterial small subunit ribosomal RNA", at positions 338 to 795 of the family's 1533-position model. Lineage: Bacteria; Bacillati; Chloroflexota; Anaerolineae; Anaerolineales; Anaerolineaceae. The record is from RNAcentral.
CCUACGGGUGGCUGCAGUGGGGAAUAUUGGUAAUCUGGGAAACCGGGAACCAGCAACGCCGCGUGCACGAUGAAGGCCUUCGGGUCGUAAAGUGCUUUUUGAAGGGAUGAGGAAGGACAGUACCUUCAGAAUAAGCCUCGGCUAACUACGUGCCAGCAGCCGCGGUAAAACGUAGGAGGCGAGCGUUAUCCGGAUUUACUGGGCGUAAAGCGUGUGUAGGCGGUUUGAUAAGUUGGAUGUGAAAGCUCCCGGCUCAACUGGGAGAGGUCGUUCAAAACUAUCAGACUAGAGAGUGGUAGAGGGAGGUGGAAUUCCGCGUGUAGUGGUGAAAUGCGUAGAUAUGCGGAGGAACACCAGUGGCGAAAGCGGCCUCCUGGCCCAUUUCUGACGCUCAGACACGAAAGCUAAGGUAGCAAACGGGAUUAGAUACCCCUGUAGUC